CAUGCAAGUCGAACGGUAACAGGUCUUCGGAUGCUGACGAGUGGCGAACGGGUGAGUAAUACAUCGGAACGUGCCUAGUAGUGGGGGAUAACUACUCGAAAGAGUAGCUAAUACCGCAUGAGAUCUACGGAUGAAAGCAGGGGACCUUCGGGCCUUGUGCUACUAGAGCGGCUGAUGGCAGAUUAGGUAGUUGGUGGGGUAAAAGCUUACCAAGCCUGCGAUCUGUAGCUGGUCUGAGAGGACGACCAGCCACACUGGGACUGAGACACGGCCCAGACUCCUACGGGAGGCAGCAGUGGGGAAUUUUGGACAAUGGGCGAAAGCCUGAUCCAGCAAUGCCGCGUGCAGGAUGAAGGCCCUCGGGUUGUAAACUGCUUUUGUACGGAACGAAAAGCCUGGGGCUAAUAUCCCCGGGUCAUGACGGUACCGUAAGAAUAAGCACCGGCUAACUACGUGCCAGCAGCCGCGGUAAUACGUAGGGUGCAAGCGUUAAUCGGAAUUACUGGGCGUAAAGCGUGCGCAGGCGGUUUUGUAAGACAGUGGUGAAAUCCCCGGGCUCAACCUGGGAACUGCCAUUGUGACUGCAAGGCUAGAGUGCGGCAGAGGGGGAUGGAAUUCCGCGUGUAGCAGUGAAAUGCGUAGAUAUGCGGAGGAACACCGAUGGCGAAGGC
RNAcentral lists this ribosomal RNA (671 nucleotides) under uncultured beta proteobacterium. Its description in RNAcentral is "bacterial SSU rRNA". It matches the Rfam family "Bacterial small subunit ribosomal RNA", at positions 54 to 722 of the family's 1533-position model. The record is from RNAcentral. Lineage: Bacteria; Pseudomonadati; Pseudomonadota; Betaproteobacteria.